Molecule: long non-coding RNA, 819 nt
Organism: Oncorhynchus tshawytscha (Chinook salmon)
Lineage: Eukaryota; Metazoa; Chordata; Actinopteri; Salmoniformes; Salmonidae
Source: Ensembl
GCUAGAUACAGUGGUUAGCGGUGUUGCUAAAUGGCAGUGGUCUUGGUUAUUGGUGUUGCUAGAUGGCAUUGGUCUUGGUUAGAGGUGUUGCUAGAUGGCAUGGUCUUGGUUAGCGGUGUUGCUAGAUGGCAGUGGUCUUGGUUAGAGGUGUUGCUAGAUGGCAGUGGUCUUCGUUAGAGGUGUUGCUAGAUGCAGUGGUUAGCGGUGUUGCUAAAAGGCAGUGGUCUUGGUUAUUGGUGUUGCUAGAUGGCAUUGGUCUUGGUUAGAGGUGUUGCUAAAUGUCAGUGGUUAGAGGUGUUGCUAAAUGGCAUUGGUCUUGGUUAGCGGUGUUGCUAGAUGCAGUGGUUAGCGGUGUUGCUAAAAGGCAGUGGUCUUGGUUAUUGGUGUUGCUAGAUGGCAGUGGUCUUCGUUAGAGGUGUUGCUAAAUGUCAGUGGUUAGAGGUGUUGCUAGAUGGCAGUGGUCUUCGUUAGAGGUGUUGCUAAAUGUCAGUGGUUAGAGGUGUUGCUAGAUGGCAGUGGUCUUCGUUAGCGGUGUUGCUAUACGGCAGUGCCAGUAGACGACCAGUAGACGGCAGAAAGUGCCUAGUAACAGCAACAGUCUCUCAUCUCUCUGUGUGGAAUAGGAAGCUGCUAUAGUAAACAGGAAGUGACGGCGGCUUAGCUGUUCCCCCCCAAUCCCUCCAAUCGUCAUCCCUCCUCUGCUCUUCCUCUCCCCUCCCUCUGUUCUCCAGACUGAAUAUAGAACUGUGAUGAUGUUGAUGGCCUGGAGUGUCGUGCAGACUGUGUUUUCGGUUUUCUUUGAGGAUGUGUGUGUGUGUG